This is a non-coding RNA of Rhopilema esculentum, 8078 nucleotides long. NCBI's taxonomy places the organism in Eukaryota, Metazoa, Cnidaria, Scyphozoa, Rhizostomeae, Rhizostomatidae. The record is from RefSeq and is a predicted model, not a curated record.
UGGAAGUUCUAAGAAAAAUACGAGGAAACACGGUAUCAGCUCUGUGUAAGGAAAGCGAAUGUUUGAUAAGGGGAAUACACCGAGUAUUUAAUGGAGAAUAUAGUCAAGCCUUUCCUGUGUUUACAGAGUAAGAAAGAAAUGAAAGACUUUCAAGAAAGAGGUUAAAGAGACUGACGAUCUGCUAGAAUUGAAUUCUUCCGAGAAAAUGGCGUUUAAGAACGAUUGCACGGAAGCUAAUUGGAAUGAAUGUAUCACACACAACUUUGAUAAGUAAAGAUUGUUGGAGCCCAUUGAGCGAGCUGCAAUCGGAACAGAUCAGAAUUGUUUAAGGAAGAAGAAAACCCUAACUGUAUCAAAAAGAGAUGAUGGAAGUUCUAAGAAAAAUACGAGGAAACACGGUAUCAGCUCUGUGUAAGGAAAGCGAAUGUUUGAUAAGGGGAAUACACCGAGUAUUUAAUGGAGAAUAUAGUCAAGCCUUUCCUGUGUUUACAGAGUAAGAAAGAAAUGAAAGACUUUCAAGAAAGAGGUUAAAGAGACUGACGAUCUGCUAGAAUUGAAUUCUUCCGAGAAAAUGGCGUUUAAGAACGAUUGCACGGAAGCUAAUUGGAAUGAAUGUAUCACACACAACUUUGAUAAGUAAAGAUUGUUGGAGCCCAUUGAGCGAGCUGCAAUUGGAACAGAUCAGAAUUGUUCAAGGAAGAAGAAAACCCCAACUGUAUCAAAAAGAGAUGAUGGAAGUUCUAAGAAAAGUACGAGGAAACACGGUAUCAGCUCUGUGUAAGGAAACCGAAUGUUUGAUAAGGGGAAUACACCGAGUAUUUGAUGGAGAAUAUAGUCAAGCCUUUCCUGUGUUUACAGAGUAAGAAAGAAAUGAAAGACUUUCAAGAAAGAGGUUAAAGAGACUGACGAUCUGCUAGAAUUGAAUUCUUCCGAGAAAAUGGCGUUUAAGAACGAUGAAUGCAGAACAAAACUGGUCAAUAGUCUGGAAUAACAUUUAACUCGAUAGAACAUCUUAGCAAAAUGAUGCUACACGACACUUGUUUUGUCAUGAAGCAAACAAAAAGGAUUCGUGUUGUUUCUUAGAAGAUGGUUGAAGGAUCCUAAGAUUCCUAGGACAAUUGUUCUGAGGAAUGAUGUCAAAUGCGAAGACGCACAAGAAGAAGAUGCACAAGAAGAAGAUGCAGAAAAAGAAUAUGCACAAGAAGAUGUCAACAAGAAGAUGUUCACAAGAAGAUGAGCAGUGAAGAUGGACUGAAGUACUCUUGAGAAAACGGAAGAUUGUUACUAUAGUCUUGCAUGUACACACAAAAAAGAUUGUGAAUGGAUUAGAAAUUCAGUAUUUGCUGGCAAGUUAUCGGUUCCAAAACGCUCAUUAGAGCAAAUUUUGGUCAUUUCCCAGUGGGUAUGCUUGAUGGCAUUUUGAUACUUUGCAAAAAGUUCCAUCCUUUUGCGCGUUUGGAGAAGUAAGCGUGUAAAGGGUCAUUUGAAGGAUCUAAAGCGCGUAGGUUUUCACGUUGGGCAAGGUAAAGCGGUUACUGGAAUGUCUUUGUGCAUGUAUCGACACUUUCAGUAUUGAACAGUGAUAGGCAACUGUUGGUUCACUCUGUUUAAAUAUGCUUGCCAGCAUUGACUGUAUUUUUUCUCCACCAUAUCAUAGGGGAAAGGUCGUUUGAGCAGCUUUUUCUUAAGCCCAACCAUGUUUUUUUCAAUUUUAAGGUCCAGUUAAGAUGAGGCUUAGGUGCGAAUAGGCUCUAUAGUUAACAUAAUUUCUAAUUUGAUUUUUAUGAAAAUGAUAACUGCUUGUGCUUCAUACCAACAAAGUUUCCCUAAAACAAUUCUUAGUUUACCUAUUGGAAAAGUUUUUAAGGGAGGUAAAAACUAUUUUGCUAAUCACCUAGCCUAUCACUAUUUUUGCUUUAUCAGCUGGAAAAUACUUAAGCAAAAAUGAAGAAAAUUUGUAUAACCGUAUCAUAGGUUCCGCGAUUGCAUUAAGAAUUUAGGCACCUUGAUUUAUUAGAAUUGUUUCCUUACAUCCAUUUCUAUCCAUAACCCUGACCCUUGUGUCGUUGUUUUUUCUAGAUUGUUUUCAACAAGAUCGUAAUAAGGAUAGGAAUCAACAAUCUUUAUUUGCAAAGACAAAUAUCAUGAUUAAGUUUGAAUUUAGGAUCAUGAACUAUUUUGCAAAGAAGAAAAAUUGUAGUAAGUAAGGAAAAGCUGCUUGAAUGACCAACUUAGAACUUCUUACCAGUCAGCUGAAUUUCACUUUAAAGGGAUGGGACCCUCAACUCUUUAGGCUAAAUUGCUGUGACGUCAUGUGUCUGUAACCUGGUGCCUGUGCUUCAAACUGGAUCAAAGAUGUUACACUGAUGUUACGAAACCAAUGUAUGCCUUGCAGCUGGACAGACACCCGCCAUUUACAAUCAGAUUUCAGUUUGGAAAAUAAAAGGAAGUCGUGAAAGAAUUCUUCCCCAGGGAUGUUAACAGGAGGGUCGUGAGAGCAAUUUUGGACAGCAACAAGAAUGGCACCUAGAACUGGUGAACGGACAAAGGCAACAUGGACUAAGGACCACUUGUUCAAAGGAUGUUCAAUUCAUAUACACCCUCUCUUCAACUCUCUCUCUGAUAUCAAACUAUAAUUCUUUUAGUCUUUUCUAACUCGUAUUUCCUUCCAUCUUUCUUUCUAUUAUUUCUUGCCCAAGUUUUUGGUACAAUAAGAUUCAACAUACUUGUCCUAUUGGUAUUUACGCGUCCUAUUGAUGUCUAAAGAAAAGCAAGUGUUCACCAAACAUACGAGAUUUAUUAACAUUUCGUUCAUUUCUCACGUUGAAGUCAGGUGCGAAUAUUUCUUUCCAAUGUUCCAAAUUUUUCUCUUUGGCCUUAUUACCUAGUUCUUUCUACCAAAACGCUUCAAUAUGCUUAUUUCCCCUGAUUCAGGAAAGGUUUCAUUCAGUUAUUAAACAGAGUUCUCUUUUCAUCCUUCGUUUCAAAAUUCUUCAAGGGUUGAAAAUCUCCCUCGAGCAAGACGGGGUUUGGGCAGGGUUUAGUAUUCCCUCUAGUUUUUGAUUACAAGAAUGUCAUGUUUCCCGGGCUCUAGCUUAUUUAUUUCAGGUUUAUGUCUUUUGUUUUUCUACAACACUGUCUCCAAAAUGCUUUCUUCUCUACUUCAUAUGCGACUUUCUACAUCACCCAGCACCAAACCCCUCUAUUACAUCACCAACCAAAAGUCUGAAAGAUAGAAGGAAGCAAGGAUGUACGCCAUCAAAGAUGAAACUCACUACUAUCCUCCAUCGGAAGAGCAUAUUUGUCCGUGCGAACGUGAUUGGACCGUGCGUCACUUUGUCCCUUUUCAUCCCCCAUUUCUUAUCCAUCCAAUGAAAUUUGGAAAAAUGAAGGGUUUCAAAUUCAGCUGAUAGGAGGAAGUUCUUAAUCCAGAAUUCGUUGUUUAUUUUUUUUUUAAAAAAGUAAUUUAAUGCAGGUGCAAAACCCGUAGAAUAGAGCCUAUGGCUGGGGUGGCCCCCGUUUAUAAUACGGUUUCGCUACUGAUACUUUGCCUCACAAAUUUUGGGUUUACGGUAUUCCACAAAUCCCUUCAAGAACCCCGGAAAAAUUUUUUUCUUAUUUUUAAAAGAAAACCUUUUACCCCACAGGAAUCCAUUUUGGCUGCAGUAUUAUCAACGUCAGACUUAAGUGCCUUUUUCUGCAAAAAACCUUUUCUCUAGAACUCGAGAGUGUUCAACUUUUUCCCUAUCUUAGAGAGUUAUUUACAAGUUUAUAUUUGUGCGCCCAAAACAACUUGGGCUUUGACUUCAUCUUUUCCAAAAGCUACCUGUUCCAAUUUCAACAACCCUUUUUUAAUUUCUAGAUUUAUUUCAGUUCCCAAAAUUUUGCCCCACGUUUUUUAAAAAAACCCUGGGGCUCUUUCUUGUCUCAGAAAAGCCGAUCUUCCUAUUAAAAUGAUCUUUGGCUUCCCAAACGUUGGGCAUUUUAAUCCUCAUUUCUCUAGACAAUUUCAAUUAUUCCUUAUUUUCCAAAACUUUUUCGGUUUCCUGGCUUUUCUUGUCCGAUCCCACAGUUUUACCCUGUUUUAUGGGUUUUUGAAAAAAAGCUAAGCCAGAAAGCUCUGUAAUACGGUAUUGCACCUGCAUAGUGUCUGCACAUUCUCUUUACGGCUUCUUGUAUUAGGGAUUGGGAAAAGUGAAUGUUUGUGCGGACACACCCCCACCCCGCCCCGCCGUGCUGGGCCUCUUCCCGCGGAGUGCUCCGACGUCCUGCCUGCGCUGCAAGAUUCUGGUGGUCUCCAGCUGGUCGUUCUCCGCUUCAUCGUGUCUUGCCAUCUCUUCAAGUUUGUCCUUCAUCUCCAAGGUAAGAGGAUUUAUUACCUCUCUUCCACUAUCUCUUUUAUUGCUUGUCAUCUUUGCUUGUAUAUUGUACACAUUUAAUCAGGAUCUAAACUCAUCAUUGGGACAUUAAUACUUAGCUUUGUUUACCUCCAAACACUGGGUGGGGGCAAUGUUUUCGGUGGCUGUUUCAAUGAUAGGUAACUUUAACGGCGAGUGAAUCAUAUUGUAUUAGAGUACUCUCUUUGCUGCAACGAUGUCUUGGUGAAUGGGAGUGCCGCAAUGGAAACGAAAGGCUGCAAUCUAGCAACUAAAAGUGUUGAUCGGGGUUGUGUUGUAAGGAUAGCAAUUUCUGAUCCGUCCUGGCUCUCUAGUCGGGUGCGAGGGAUUUUGGUAUAUGUAGAUCUUUUUAUUAUUAUUUAAUUUACCCUAUCGGUCAAGGGUACGGCGAAACGUUCUGUUGAAUAGGUAACCUUGCAGUUCAUCACGUUUAUGUGCGCCUUUUAUCAUUUAUUAGUGUAAGAAUUUUUCUUUGCAUUUUAUAGGGUUAAAUAAUUAAGUAAUUAUGUAUUAGCAAUUAUUUCAAGUUACAAUAAAAACUAAUUUUAAGUUAUCGUUUUUUAAACUUUUAUUUAGAUUAAUCGCGUAAAAUGCAUUUAAAGAUAUAAAUCAAAAAUACUGAUAAUAAUAAUAAUAAUAACGUUGAAUAAAAGCGAAUAAUGUUGUUGCGUUUAUUGAUAUAAAGAUCUAAGAAUUGAUAUUAUUAUUGAUAAUUUGAUAAUAUUUUGUAAUUGUAAUCGAAAUAAUGAUUAUAAUUAUUAUUAUUGUGACUUUCACAGCUUGUAUUGUUAAAAUGAAAGGUUAGAUCCAAUAAACUAAACAGAUAGUUAUUUCCUGGUGAACUAGGUUUUUUCUUUACAAUAUUCGCAAGUAAUAGCCUCAAGUUAAUAUAAAACUACAAAAUUCAUUGAUGUUUAUCUAAUUUAUUAUUCCAGAAUAACUAGCUUUAAGAUCAAAUUUUGUAAUUUUUCAGGACAGGAGGUUUUUCGGCAAGGUAGUCCUUUAGUUCAAACUAUGUUCAAACAUGCAUGAAUAGAUAAAAAAUUGUAGCACUAGAUGAUAUCUCUAAUCAUUAAACAACUCAAACUUAAAUUAAUCUACUCUAAAUUCACUAAGUAGGCCUAUAAUUAUAUUUGUUUGUAUAAUAUAGCAAUUUAUUCUAACUAGCCCUUUUUAAUAAUAUUUUUAUUUCAACUGUAACUAGUUUCUUUCUCAUCUUAUACCUUUUCUUUUCCUCAACAUUUUUAAAACCAAUUAAUGCUUUUCCUAUUUUUCAAAAAAAUUCCCAUCUAAUUUUUAGCGCUGGUUUCUGUACUAAAUUAGAAAACUUGCAAUCCUUUUUCGUUAAUUUUGCGGUAAACAUUACACGCGAACACUGUUUAAAGUAUACACCUCUUUGGAAAAGUUUUUUAUUCAAACUGUUUUUAGGGUCAAUGAUUUCAGAGUUCGUAAGCCCGGAAAUUUUGUCAAAGUUCCCUUUUCAAUUCCAAAUGUUUUUCGGAUUUUAAUGAUGUAUUUCUUUCUUUUUCUUUAUCCAAAACGUUUUGAAUUCCUGAGAAACUAAAUACUUUUGCAAUUCAGUUUGCUAUACAUCAAGGGUUUUCGUAUUUAUCCGUGGGUGUUAAAAAUUAUUUUUUUUUCAUUCCUGCUUUUCCAAAAGCGAUUUUUACAUCCAUAGAAGGUACAAAAACCUUCUUUGUCAUGAUGUGGAUUAAAAUUGUCUUGUCUUUUCACCACCCUCUGCUGUUAUUUUCUUCUUAAAACUUUUUAAUAAAAUCUAUGUUAAGUAUAACUUCUGAGUUCAUUGUUUGUAACCUGUUUUAGCAAUAUAUUUUUACUGAGUUAUAUUUCUCUCCGCGUUUUAAGUAACCAUUUUAUUUUUUUAUGAUUAGUAUAUUGCGUGAUGAACUGCCGACGCUUAGGCUCUUUUCGACCAUUCGCUGCCAAAUUCCCCCUCGUCCAUAACACUGCAACGGGACGAUUUUUCUGUGUGCUUGGCACGUACCGGGCAAUGACGAGAAAUGCUGGGUGGCGCGUAGACGUUGUGAACAGUGGCCUUACUAGUCAAGUUAUCAAAGUUGCUGGUAGGUAGGCUUUGGUGGUCUUGGUCAACGGGUCUGCAACACCUCUCACAUCUCACACCGAUCAAACUGCAAGGAGUGCGCAUUUUAGCACUGUUUACAAAAAUCCUCAAUUUUUUUCCCUAAAAGCAGUGUGAUCUUUCGGCCGGUUAGGUUGUCUGUUUUAGGUUUGCAGGGCAGUGCCCCCAGUAAGCCAAUGGUGUCUUGCAGCAACGGGGAGAAAUGGUGCAAUAUGAUUUACCCCUCAAAAAUAGGCUAGGUUAGGCCUUAGGAGAUGAGUUUUGGUACUGGUUCUUUGUUGUACAAUAUACUUGUUAAAAUGACGGGCAGUGGAAGAGAUGGUGUAGGAGAAAUUAAAUCCUCUCACCUUAGAGAUAAAGGGCAACCUGGAGAGAUGGUAAGAUGGAUGGAGCGAAGAACGACUGGUUGGGGCUCAUCAGGGUCUUGCAGUGCAGGUGGGGCGUUGGGGCACUCCGUGGGAGAGGCCCAGCAUGGCGGGGCGGGGUGGGGGACCCUUUAUACUUGUAAAAAAAUUUUCGAAGAAAAAUUUUGAACCUUCCCCCUGUGUUUUCUCUCGGAGUGCAGACUGUCCCCCUACUUUUCAUCUUGGAGACGAGCAUGUCCCCCUGACUUUUCAGUCGGAGGCCAGCCUGCUGACUCCGUUGGUAUCCCCGGUAAGCGGUCUUCCCCGGCUCCGGAUGUCCGGAGCCGGGGACUACCGCCCACCGGGAAGCGCAUGCGCCUGUUCGAAUCCCAACUCUUUGUUCCCAUUUUGAAUGACCCAUUGUUUCCGCAUUUCCCAUUGUUUCGCAUUGUUCCAUUGUCCAUCUGUCCAUGUGAUUGCCGCUUGAAUUUUCUGGAGGAAAAACAGCGCUUGAGCCGGGAUUCGAACCCACGACCUUGUGACCUUUGACAUUAGCAGUCACCCACUAAUACCACUGGACCACAAGGCCGCUUGGUAAGCCAGGGUAACAAGCGCUAGUAUAUUUUGCUUUACCAGAGACUGCUGCAAAUUCACCAUUGCUAUACUGUAAUGUAAUUUUUAGAUCUGUUUGCUGGUUAGUAAUGGUGCAUUUAAAUGUUUUUUUGACUAUUUCUUGUAAAAAAAUGAAAUUUUAAGAAUUUUCAAAAUUUUCUUUACUUCAGACUUGUCCACUAUGGUAUGGGCCAUGAAACACCCUGUCAGAUUGAAAUUUUUGGAUACAAAAUAAACCUGUUGGACUUAAAUAAAACUUUGUAAGCUUCAUUGCAACAGUUGUAAAAUCUCUCUAUUAGAUAGAUAAAAUAAAGGGGAAAGAUCCGUGAAGAAAAAACUAAGAUUAAAAGUAGGAGAGGGAUCGAACUAUCUCCAUGGUGACUUUCAACAGGAUUAUCUCUCGGCGUCAACGCGUUGUCAGUGUGUCUUGCUGGAAGAAAAAGACGCGAAAGCUCACCAAGCGUAGAAGAAAAAUAGGCCAAAAAUACCAAGCGGGAUUAAGAAAAUCGAGCAAAUAAUGUAUCGAGCUAAUUUACCCCGGGUGGCUGCAAUGAACCCCAAGCACAGCCCCCACACGCACAGACUGUGUUUAAGAAUAUGAUGUUUAUCAACAAAAGAGAGAAG